GCCUCUCUUUUGUCUGCGCCUAACCGGAACGAAUGAGCCGAUAGGUCCAAGGUUUUUUUUUUUUUUGCCUUUUUUGAGUGUUCGCUUAUACAGAAGCAAAGCAGAAGCGAAUCGAAUUUUUUCGGCUGUAUCAUCAUAUAACUUUGCGUAUACACGGAAAAAAUCAUGUUUUACAGCAUCACAUUUCCCACCGAAAAAAAAAAAAGACAAAUUUUUUUAUCAUUUUUCAUCGGCGGUCGUAAAAGAAUGGAAGAGAGAAAGGGAAUUUUAUUUUUUUUUGACAAUCAAUAAGGACUGUGUGCUAUAUAACAAGAGUCUAAGGCUUCACUUCUUCUUCUUGUAUUUUAUGGAUGUUGGAGACCGAAAAAGUGAGAGACACGGUCGUAGAAGGAAAAAAAAAAAAAAUAGCAACUUGUACGAUUUGACUUUUUUAUGUUUCGCACGGCUUCUCUCUGAGACAUUCGGCCCUUUUUUUGUCUUCUGUAACUUGCAUAUCCGCCAAAAAAAGUUUUUUUUGUUUUGUUUUUACCAGAGCGGAUAAGGCAUUCGGGUCAGGUAUAUAGCGGACCUGUUAUAAAACCUUUGAGAGUGGUAGAGUCAAGUCGAAGCGAAGUGACUUUAUCUCUUAGUCAAAGUCAAAUCGUAUCGACUUUAGUUUGGCGCACUUUUCGCUCGCAAAGUUGGCGUGACAUUUCCGCUUUUCGUCUGAUCUCCCGAUAUUUUCCCAAAAGGAAUUCAAAAAGUGCGCAGAAGAGAAAAUCAAAUCAGAGCGGCAAUCGUUCACGCAGCGGACGUCAAGGGCAACGUUUUUUUGUUUGGUUUUUUUAAAACAUUCAGCCAAAGUGUGAAGAACUAAAAAGGAUGGCCGUUAGGCACGCAGCAGAGCAACGUGAAUAUUAUCGAUGUUGUGCUCUCGUUUGCGACUCGUAUCUGCGUCUAUACACGUUAGAGAUAUAGGCAGUGUGCCAAAAAAAUGGGCUGGGUUAUUGGAUGAAAAGGACGAUACACAGACAUGGGAGCGUGAUAAUGCGACUGUAAAAAUAAAUAAAGUUGGUCGAUCGACCAGAACUCCCGGAGCACGUUCCUUUUUUUUUUUUUGAUUUUUCGCUAGUCUCAUUAUGGCCGUGUCUCUACGCACACGUUGGGAAGUGUUGCAUCUCCUCUUUUAAUCUGUUUUUUUUAGCGCAGUUGUAAGUGAAACUCGAUUUCUUUUCCUAGUAGCUCAAAAACAAUUUUCGCUGUCCCUUUGUUUGGGCCUGCAAUCUGCCGACGGUUAAACUUCUACGUACAGCUUUCGGCUUUCAUCAAGUCAACAAGGGCCAUAUCUUCCUUUUUAUUAUUAUUAUUUGCCCGGAUUUUUUUAAAAAAUAUUUUUGGCUGACAUUCGCCAGGCCGCAUCUGUCACGGUUCCUCCUGAACGUUGCAAAUAGUAAACACGGGGCCCAUAUAAGAAGCUGCUGGCCUGUUCCAGGUGUAUGGAGGAAAGGUUUGCCGAUGGAAUCCAAUACUAGCGCACACAUCAACAACAACCUCUGACCGCCGCCAUUCUGCUGUGCUUCAUCUUUAUUAUUAUUAUUUAGAAGAAGGGAGCACACACACAAUCGUCUUCUCCCCCGUCUUCUCCCUACACCGUCGAAGAAAAACAUGUUCUGAUGGCAACAUACGGGAAGAAGAGGGAACCCCUAAAUAACACCAAGGCAACACCUGCCCCCUCAGGGCAAUAGCUUUCCCCCUAACCCCAUUGGACGAUGAACAGAUGGGGACCCCCUUUCAUAUGUACCACCCUCAUACAAAAUAGUUGAUUGGUCACCCCGAUGAUUUGACUUUAUGUCCGACUAUUUUGCAAGACACGGCGAGAGAUGCGUACGACCGUUUGGUAUUUCCAUUCUUCGUGCUCAUUGAUUGAUUGAUUUCAAAUGGAUUUUGUUAGCCUAUUGAAAGGGAGCCAAUGGUUAGCUUACUGAAAUAAUGGAUUCAGUAUACUCUCAGGGCCGGAAGCAACUGUAGAAAGGCCGACUUGUUAACAUUAAGAAGAAGAAGAAGAAACCGCAUAUGUGAAGCGGAGGCGCCCGCCAUUUCCCGUUUUCAAAUGUGUAAUGGACGUUAAUUGACCACCAAAUGUCGCUCAUUAUAUUCAGGCCGUAAAAACGAUACCACCAAUAGCUAUAAUGAAAAUAGAAGCCAUUAGUCUCCGCACUGUCUUUCUUUUCUUAGCACUCUACUAACUAUUAAAUGCAAUAAUAACGGAUUGUCGGCACGCACCUCGCGCUCAACCACUAGACGCUCCAUCCGUGUCUGCGUGAAUCCAAUUGUCAAACGCGUGCGCUCAAUAACGAACCCGACUGGUAGAUGGCCGAUAAUAGUAAAUCGGAAAGAAUACGCGAUAUUUUAUUAGGUCACAAUGUCUUUAUUCCUUCACGUUUCUUUUGUUUUUAUUAUUAUUAUUGUCGUUGUUUUGUUUGUUGUUGUUCGCGGGUCCCUAGCGACCAAAGUGGAAUCUCAUUUCACCUCUUGCGUGGUGUGGAAAUCUCCAGCACGGAUGGCCAUCAGAGAGGGGGGGGAGCUGUAACGCAACGAACUCAAUUUGUCCGGGGAUUGUGCGGAGUUGAUUGGAAAUCACCCGUGGGAAGGAGUUAACCAGCGGAUGGAAAAUAAAACAUAACACACACGCCGGAAUUCUUGGCUAUCCUCAUGCGUGGGGGGGCUUCCAGCGAAAUCUUUCUUUCGUGAUUUCAUUAACUUUGUCUCGUCUAUUUUUCGGAGCAGCUCCAUUAUUUAUAAAUCAACGUACAUGAUGUGCGUCUUGCUGGUGUGGGUUUUGUUGUCAUCGACGUUUGCACUCGUCGCUUCUUUCUAUUUUGUCCAAUCAGCUUGAGAGUAAAAUGUGUGAAGAGCCGUUGGGGUGGGGAUGGAGGUUUUUUCCGUAGAAAUCGAUCGAGCAGAAGAGCGAUAAACAGAUGGAAAGAGAUUAGCCAUUAACCACAGCAACAAGAGCAGCUGUCUAGAUAUCACGGCCACGCCCAUAACGUACAAUGUACCGAGAUGCACUUAAGCAGACCGCCACCAGGUCUGUCGCGAUCGCAAUGCAAUCACAUCAUCCCACGUGAAAUUGCUGCACUAAAAGGAUCGAUCCUCUCCUAAAUGUUGAUGCGUUCAUCACCAUCCAGUGGCACGUGUUUGGAUUUGAAUUAAAUCGUGAUUGUGUUGUUGCAACGAAUAGAAUCAGCAAACAGCGAUUGGAUUGGCGGGUUCACAGCGUGUUACACCGAUGGCCGAUGCAAUAGACAUAGCGCGAGUAUACGUCAAUGGUGGCAGUGCCUUAUGCUUUAGAAUCGAGCGACACGCGUAAAAGCAGAAGGAGCUCUCACGCUGAUGAUUGUAUGAACGUCCCUUUCCGGAUGUGCGCACGCGAGGAAUGAUUGGAAUAAUCCAUCCAAUGUCUAUGCUGGUGGAAAUAGGAAAAGACUUUGACUCCACGUCUACGUUCCGUAUAUCGGAUCGUGACUCAAGUCAAAUGGAAAAGAAAUGCGAUGUGAUUUUUCACGAAGCUGAUUCGCAUUCGGUCACUCGUCUUCUAUUCGCAGUAUUUAUUAUGAGGAUGAAAAGAGAGAAACGGAAGAUGGAUGGUUAAGAGAGUCGCGAUCGAUGUAACCCAAGUCUUGGUCGGGGGGAGAAAAACAAGAGAGACGCCACGGCCUUUCAAUCAAUUCGAGUCAAUCGGCUUGUACUCUUUUUACGUACCCCUUUCAGUUGGGGACGGACUGCUCUGCUUGCCGACUGUUAUGUGUAGUCGGCCAAAGAGGAUUUCUUUUUUAUCCUCAACCUUCUUUGCACUUACAACUACCAAGAACUAUACACGUACGUCUGCUAGUUGAUUUAUAGCUCCGCCCAUUCCCGCUGGAAGUCGACGUGUUCUUUUUCUUUGGCAAUCCGUCGGCAGUAAAGGAUCAUUAUUUCGAUGUCGUACACACGCAAGUGGCAUGUAGAUAUGUGUACAAGAAGACAAACAAAAUUGGAGGAUGGUCUUGUUUAAUAUGGUGGUCCUAUAUACCCGCACAAUAACUUGAUUGCCCCAUCGGCGUGGCUCGCCCCCCACACAUCCGGCCUGCUGGCACUGGGUUUGUAAGUAACGUAUAGACAACAACAGCAACAAAAAAAGAAAAGACUUUCAUAAAGUCGAUUGUUCUCUUCUUUUUUUUUUAUAUAUAUUUUUCUUGCGUUUUUCUUGUUAUUCAAGUGAAACCGCAAAGGGUCCAAAGUCAUCAUUAUCGAAGCUCUAAAAGGGGGGGGAGCGUUUAAAAAGACUUGCGGCGAUUAAAAAAAGAAAACAAAAGAAAAACGUGUCUGGAACACGGGCGAGCAAAAGUGAGGGGUGAAUCAACUUCCAUUUAGCCCUUAAAAAACAAAACACAUUUUAAAAUGUUAUUUCAUUUUUUGUUGUUGCAACGAUUGUGUAUAUAGUCCACGAGAUCAAAUUGCGAAGCACCAACUCGCCAGGCAAAAUAUCAAAGGCUAUUUCAAUGAA
Molecule: long non-coding RNA, 4525 nt
Filed under: Daphnia magna
Lineage: Eukaryota; Metazoa; Arthropoda; Branchiopoda; Diplostraca; Daphniidae
Description: uncharacterized LOC116931285
Source: RNAcentral